This 759-nucleotide ribosomal RNA is filed under the name uncultured bacterium. RNAcentral's name for it is "bacterial SSU rRNA". It matches the Rfam family "Bacterial small subunit ribosomal RNA", at positions 8 to 781 of the family's 1533-position model. The record is from RNAcentral.
AGAGUUUGAUCCUGGCUCAGGACGAACGCUGGCGGCGUGCUUAACACAUGCAAGUCGAGCGAUGAAGUUUCUUCGGAAAUGGAUUAGCGGCGAACGGGUGAGGAACACGUGAAGAAUCUGCCCUCCACUUUGGGAUAACACCGGGAAACCGGUGCUAAUACCGAAUAUUGAAACAUAAGUGGCAUCACUGAGUUUUGAAAGAAUUUCGGUGGAGGAUGACUUCGCGGCCUAUCAGCUAGUUGGUGAGGUAAUGGCUCACCAAGGCAACGACGGGUAGCCGGCCUGAGAGGGCGACCGGCCACACUGGGACUGAGACACGGCCCAGACUCCUACGGGAGGCAGCAGUGGGGAAUAUUGGGCAAUGGAGGAAACUCUGACCCAGCGACGCCGCGUGCGGGAUGAAGGCCUUCGGGUUGUAAACCGCUUUCAGUAGGGAAGAAGCGAAAGUGACGGUACCUACAAAAGAAGCACCGGCUAACUAUGUGCCAGCAGCCGCGGUAAUACAUAGGGUGCAAGCGUUGUCCGGAAUUAUUGGGCGUAAAGAGCUCGUAGGUCGUUUGUUACGUCGGAUGUGAAAACCUGAGGCUCAACCUCAGGCCUGCAUUCGAUACGGGCAAACUAGAGUUUGGUAGGGGAGGCUGGAAUUCCUGGUGUAGCGGUGGAAUGCGCAGAUAUCAGGAGGAACACCAAUGGCGANNNCAGGUCUCUGGGCCAAUACUGACACUGAGGAGCGAAAGUCUGGGGAGCGAACAGGANNAG